AAUAUCAACAUCAACAAAUACGAAAACCUCACUUCAUUUCUAAAAACACAGUCAAAAGGAUUUCAGUCCAAAAAGCGAACACUUUGACGCCGGAACAAAUUAAAAAGUUUCUCGAUGAAGCACCAGAUCAAACACACUUAGCGACAAAGCUCGCUACUAUCUUUGGAAUAUGUGGAGCAUGCAGAAGA
Nylanderia fulva is the source of this 188-nucleotide non-coding RNA. Lineage: Eukaryota; Metazoa; Arthropoda; Insecta; Hymenoptera; Formicidae. The record is from RefSeq and is a predicted model, not a curated record.